AGCGGGGUAGGGUAGCCUGGUAGCCUGCGGGGCUCAUAACCCCGAGGUCCCCGGUUCAAAUCCGGGCCCCGCUA
Molecule: transfer RNA, 74 nt
Filed under: Vulcanisaeta distributa DSM 14429
Lineage: Archaea; Thermoproteati; Thermoproteota; Thermoprotei; Thermoproteales; Thermoproteaceae
Description: tRNA-iMet (CAT) (tRNA-iMet-CAT-1-1)
Rfam family: tRNA
About the family: Transfer RNA (tRNA) molecules are approximately 80 nucleotides in length. Their secondary structure includes four short double-helical elements and three loops (D, anti-codon, and T loops).
Source: Rfam by way of RNAcentral